This 497-nucleotide ribosomal RNA is filed under the name uncultured bacterium. Its description in RNAcentral is "partial 16S ribosomal RNA". It matches the Rfam family "Bacterial small subunit ribosomal RNA", at positions 28 to 507 of the family's 1533-position model. The record is from RNAcentral.
GAUGAACGCUGGCGGCGUGCCUAAUACAUGCAAGUCGAGCGAACGGACGAGAAGCUUGCUUCUCUGAUGUUAGCGGCGGACGGGUGAGUAACACGUGGAUAACCUACCUAUAAGACUGGGAUAACUUCGGGAAACCGGAGCUAAUACCGGAUAAUAUUUUGAACCGCAUGGUUCAAAAGUGAAAGACGGUCUUGCUGUCACUUAUAGAUGGAUCCGCGCUGCAUUAGCUAGUUGGUAAGGUAACGGCUUACCAAGGCAACGAUGCAUAGCCGACCUGAGAGGGUGAUCGACCACACUGGAACUGAGACACGGUACAGACUCCUACGGGAGGCAGCAGUAGGGAAUCUUCCGCAAUGGGCGAGAGCCUGACGGAGCAACGCCGCGUGAGUGAUGAAGGUCUUCGGAUCGUAAAACUCUGUUAUUAGGGAAGAACAUAUGUGUAAGUAACUGUGCACAUCUUGACGGUACCUAAUCAGAAAGCCACGGCUAACUACGUG